Molecule: long non-coding RNA, 6106 nt
Filed under: Sus scrofa (pig)
Lineage: Eukaryota; Metazoa; Chordata; Mammalia; Artiodactyla; Suidae
Description: lncRNA (ENSSSCG00025007279.1)
Source: RNAcentral
AUAUAAUAUUUAGGAUUUAAUAUCCUCACUUUGGGCAUCUAUGAACAUGAAAUCUAUAUGGCAACAAAAAGGACUACAUUCUGAUCACUGCAGUGGGAAAGUUGGCAAAGCCCAAACUAAUUCCGGUUCCGUUUAUUUCUCGGCUCAAGAUCAACACUUUCAGCUGAUCUUGUGCGACGAUUCUGUCUUGGACUUAUUUCUGUGUCUUGAAGAUCAUUUCUGAAAACAGAAAAAAGAAAACGGCAGCUUAGGCAAAGAUGAUCGUUAUUAUUUUACAGCAUUUCUAGUUUAUAAGAGCCUUCCCAUGCAUUUUCAUUGAAUCCUCCACACAGCCUUCUACCCCACUGACAAGUCUACUAUAACUAUUACUGCUAUUAUUAUUCUUCCCACUUUACAACUGAGAAAACAGUGACUUAGUAAAGACUAAGUCUAAAUGAAAUGAAAGAGCUAAGGCCUCAACCCCUUUCUUUCAAAUCAAAAUCUAGCAGUUUUAUGCUUCUGCUUCACAUGUAGAAAGCUGAAAAAAAAAAAAAAUGUGCUCCCAUCCUAACAAGUCGAAGCCAGAGGUCUAACAGACCCAGAAUUUAUCUUGACCUUGUCAGAGAGCUGGGGUUCUAAGGGAAGCAAGAAAACAAAGUUCCCUCAAAAGAGAGACAGGCCAUGUGCAUGCCCUCACUCCAGGCAGGAUGCCAAAGGCCAGAGAACAUGCAAGUGAGGAGAUGAAAGCUGCGGUUUUGCUGGAUUCUGCAAUAUGCCCAGGAGCCUUGGCGGUGCUCGUGUGACACUGGGAGAGGGCAGGACACCGAGGAGAGCCUGAGGUGGGAGCACAGGGAUAAAGCAGGGUACACAGGGGUGACAGGGGUUAGGCAUAAGCCCUGCCUCUUCCCUCCACCCUCCUCUCCUAUGAAGCAAAAGCUUUAAGCUGCUGAGAGAAGAGCAGGAAACUCCCUGGGCCAUGGGCUUAGGUGAAGAUGCGCUGUCCCUGGGGUGGAAAGGCAAAGAUUCACUGUUGCUGGGAAAUGGGAGAAACAGAAACUUCCACCUCUAGAAGAUGGGAAGCAAGUCAUCUUGGGCCGAGGAGCUCAUACAAUUCCCAGCAGAGGUUGGGUCAAGGUGGUCUGAGCACCCUGGGAGGUGGGGGAGGGUGCUGGGAAACCCCCACCCCAGAGAAGAGGCACCCAGGGCCUGCCUGAGACAGAGCUGGGGUGAGAUGCCAGGGGGGCCCCCGUGGGCCCACCACGAGCCCAGCACCAAGCUUAGGCUGCAGCAGUAGCUGGCUGAUGGAGAGGAAGGGACAAGGAGAAGAGGUGCCUCCCCUGGUCAGGGAGGGGAGAGGAAGGCACUAAGAGCAGAUGAAAGGAAAUGAGGGCAAAAUCAGUAGGCCAAACCUCGCCAUACUGUCCCAACACUAAGCACAAGGUCAAAGCAGCCCCACUGCUAGAGGAACGUGAGGGCUCUGAUGCCCUGAAGGUCACAUUAACAAGUAAACUCCAACCGAGGUCAACUCCCCACACGAAUGGCCUAACAGGAGAAGGGGCCUUCCCAGCUCCAGGCACAAAUGCUGUUUAUCCCAGUCUCUAUGGGCCUUCAUUCAAGUAAAAUAGAUGAUUCACAAAGAAGGUGGAAAACAAAGAAAAUCUGUUGUAAAAAGUAACCAAGAGAUAAUACAGACAAAAUGACCACAUGUUGCAACUGUCAGACCAGGACCUUAAAUACCUAUGGUUCACAUGUUGCAGGCUCUAGGGAAAAGCCCAACAUGGUGAACACAUGCUCCAGGGGAGGCUCAUUAUUACUGCCCCUCCCCCUUACCACUCAGAGUCUAAGGUUCUCAUCACAAGUGGCUGCCUUGUUGCUCUUUCCCCUCCUCCACAGAGUCAGCCUGUCCAGCUCAGCAAGCAGUGUACUCAACCAAGAGUCACCACUCUUCUGAGCUAGGACAGGGGCUGGCAAACAUCGUAAAGGGCCAGAUAUCUGGGCUUUGCCAGCCAGUCACACAGUCUCUGUUGCAACUACUCAGUUCAAGUGUAAUGUGAAAGGGGCCACAAACAGUAGAUAAACAAAGUGUGUGGCUGUGUUCUAAUAGAACUUUGUUAACAAAAACAGCAGAAUAGAUGUGCCACAUGGGCCAUAGUUUGCCAACCCCUGACUUGGACCAUGUGAGUCCAACAAGUGGAUCCAGGUGGCUGAGCCAGAGUUAGGUGUGAAUCCUCUAGGACCUCCCUUGGCCAAGCUGCCACUCAGAGGAUGUACCAGUUAGGCCAGUAUAGGGUUGCUCUUAGGAGAAAGAAAGAUGCAUCAUGCCCAGGAAUUGUCAAGAGGGAAUCCUGAAUUUUUAAAUAGGUCCAUAUAAACCCAACACCCUUUUUGUCUUGAUCACAGCCAGAAAGUGGCCAAAAUGAGAUGACCCCUUUCUGAGCACAGCAGCAAUCAGUGACCAAGCUGCCUUACUAAGGUGUGUGGACCAGGAGGAGGUGAGGGAGCUGAUUUUUUUCAAGGAGGCCAUUCCAACAUUCAGUACUAGAUGCCUGUGGAUUGCAGGGAGGCUAACAAAUUCAGCAGGUCGCCAAUCUCUUCAGAGAAUGGGUCUUUCCUUCCUACCUACAUGAGUGAUGCAGAUGCUUUGAUGGGCACCCUCCAGGUGUGGAGCCCCAAGAGGGGGAGUGGUGUUUUUACUCUGCUAAUCUGUGACUUUUAUGACCUGAUUCAACCUCAAUUACCUCCUUAACAGUUCUAUCUCCAGUACAGGCACACUUGGAAUUAGGCUUCAAUGUACAAAUUUUAGGUGGACACAAUUGAAUCCAUAACAGCCUUUGUGGGUCAGGCAUUCAGUGCUGACAAGAUCCUAGCAGCAAGCUAACAGCUGUUUUUCAAAAGGGAUAUAACUGGCAGCUAUGCUAGGCUGGAGACAAGUCCAAAAUCCCAAAGGGUGUCUCUCUUUGUCAGAGGCUCCAAUCAACAAAAUCACUGGCCAUAAAGACUUGUAGCUCCAAGGGGUUUUUCGAGUUGUGGGAGUUCAUGGGUAUUAUCACUUCUUAUGUAUGGUUCUUCCCCAUCUGAGAAUUUGCUCUGGCACUUAGUGGAUGGGGAAUUAAAGUAUGUACACAUCAGUCUCGCAUGUGUUCCAAUGAGAAGUAACAAAUAACUUAGUACCAAGUUAGCCCAGAGGGCCUCAACUACAAGGUCAUAUCAGCUUCCCUUCCCCACUGUAAACCUUGCCAAACCCCAUAAAAUCAAGUCAGGUACUUCCUUCCCUGACAGAAGUAGGAUAUCAAUCUGGUACCUAUAUCCAACAGAGCCAGCAAAGUCUGAGUCUCUGCCCUUCCCAAAGAUCACUCCUGGACUGGUGCAGAUGGCCUUUAAUCUCCCUUGGGGACAGGUAGACCUGGGCUCCACCACUAAGCAACAAAGCCAGAAUAGCCAAAACAAUUCUAAAAAGAAAAAUGUACACUGACAAUAGUAAAUGCUGGUGAAGAUGUGGAGCAAAAGGAAUUCUUAUUCAUUGCUGGCAGGAAUGCAAAAUGGCACAGUCAUUUUGGAAGACAAUUUGGUAGUUUCUUCCAAAAUUAAACAUACUCUUACCAUAUGAUGCAGCAACUGCAGUCCUUGGUAUUUAGCCAAAUGAAUGGAAAACUACAUCCACACAAACCCUGAACUUUAUUUAUAGGUAUAAUAAUAUAUAGAUAGCACUUCAUUCAUAAUUGCCAAAACUUGGAAGCAAUUUAAGAUCUCCUUCAACAGCUGAAUACAUAAAUGAAUGGCAGUAAUUCAUAGAAUGGAAUACUAUUCAGCACUAAAAAGAAAUAAGCUGCUCAAGCCACACAAAGACAUGCAGCAAGCUUAAAUAUUACCAAGUGAAAGAAGUCAAUCUGAAAAGGCUAAAACUGAAAAGGCCAUAGUUGGGCUUGGGGAAAAGGAGGGGUGAAUAGGCAGAGCACGAAGGACUUUUAGAGAACUUUUCCCCUUGUAAGGUUUAUUACUUGCAAAAAGAGGCUUUCUGGUGAGAACUGAAGAAGGAAACCAGGUUGGGGUCUUUAUGGUGGGUAGUGGGUGGGAUCACCUGGGAUUUCUUAGCAGUCUGUCCAGAUGUAGAAGGGGAAAUGGAAGAUUGAGACUCAAGAGCUGUCAGCAAACACCACAAAAAUGGGGUCAGAUAAUAUUUCAGGGUGCAAACUGAUGAAGAACUCAGUCCAGAGAAUAGGUGUGUACAGUGGCAAAGCACUACACGUGGCUUAGGAGAGUCAAGACAAUUCACUAUCCUUUGGGCUCAGACUUCUUAUAAACAGUGAAUAGAAUUCCUUCCCUACUCUGUAAUCACAAGAUUAAAUAAUAAAAUGAACAUGAAUGUACUUAUAACUUGACUAAAACAUGUUAGGAAUUUGAUAGAUGUUAGUUAAUUACAUUUGUCUUCUUAAAUAUCUAGAAGUAAUUUUUGCUAAUUUCAUAAGAUUCACUUCCUAGAAGAUAAUGGCACAAAAGAAAAAAAAAAAUAUCAGCCAACAUGCAGCCCUUCUUUUUUUUCUUUUUUGUCUUUUUGCCUUUUCUAGGGCCGCUCCCGCGGCAUAUGGAGGUUCCCAGAAAAGACAAAAAAAAAAAGCACAUGGCAACUGGCUUCUUCCAGAACGAGAGAGCCAAGAGGGAGACAGAACAAACAAAAAGAAAGAAAGAAAGAAAGAAAGAAAGAAAGAAAACACACACACACACACACACACAAAAGGAAUGGAUAGUGAGAGAUGGUUAAUAAGCAGAAAACAGAUUAAAUUUAAGAUUUUAUAAAAUCAAAUCAGCAACACAAAAGCAAUCAGUGAUAACCUUGGAAAAGUUUUGCAUUCUAACGUUUACUGAAUAUAGUUCUUGGAAUAAUACUUUAAAAAGAACAUGGACAGAGACCAAAGCCUAUAGAAUGUGCUUGGCACUUGCAGAGCCAAGGAGCUUCUCAGUUCUUUUGUCUUAAGGGAUCAUCCUUCUUCCCAUUACAGGUAAGGCUACUGAAAAAUAAGAUCACUGUGGAGGCAAGUCCACAGGCUCACUCUGCCUUUAGCUUUUUCAGUUCUUCAUCCACAAAGGACUGUAAACAGGCUGAGGCCAGGCCCAUCACAAUAAUUUUUUGAUGGGCUUUUGCUCCUAACUCUAAUUUUAAGGUUUUUUUGCUUCAUCUAUUCUGGGGCUCUGUUGUUAGGUGCAUAGGAACCUGUAAUUUUAUAUCUUCUUGAUGGAUUGAUCUUUUCAUCACUAUAAAAUGUCUUUCCAUCAUUACAGAACGUCUUUCUAGUCUCUAGUUAACAAUUUUUGUCCUAAAGUUUAUUUUGCCUGAUAUUACUAUGGCCAUAAAAGCUCUCUUUUGGUUACUGUUUGCAUGGUAAUAUUUUUCUUGCCUUUUACCUUGUGUUUUUGAGUUUAAAGUGGGUCUCUUGAAGACAGCAUAUACUAGAAUUAUGUUUUUUAAAAAAUCCAUUCUAUCAAACUCUGCCUUUUAAUUGAAGAGUUUAAUCCACUUAUAUGUAAUGUACUUACUAAUAAGGUAGGAGUUGUAUGUGCCAUUUUGGUAUUUAUUUUCUAUAUGUCUUUUUUUUCAUUCCUCUAUUCUUCCAUCACUGCCUUCUUUUGUAUUAUUUUCUAGUGUACCAUUUUAAUCCCCUUGUCAUUUCUUUUACUAUAUUUAAAUUAAAAAAAAUAUUUUCUUAGUGGUUUGCCUGGACAUUUUAAUUAACAUAUUAAUUUAUAACAAUCUAAUUUAGAUUAUUGUCAUCUUAAUUUCAAGACAAUACAAAAACUUUGCUUCUAUACACCUAUUUCUUCUUCCCACCUUUCUGCUAUUAUUCUCAUCUUAUGUCCAUCAACAUAGAUUUCUAAUUAUUGCUUUGUACAGGUUUCUUUCAAAUCAGAUGCGGGGGGAGAGUUGCAAUAAAAAAAAUGUCUAUACAGUCUUUUUAAUUCACCUAUACUUUUAAAUUUGCCUUUACUGUGGUUCUUUAUUUUUUCAUGUCAAUUCAAGCUACCAUCUAUUGUCCUUUCACUUCAGCUGGAAAGAUUCCCUUUAUUAUUUCUUGUAGGGCAAAUUUCCUAGUGACUAACUCUCUUUUAUUUCUCUGGAAAGGUCUGAAUUUUU